ACCUGGCUGGCUCAGUUGGUAGAGCGUGUGACUCUUGAUCUCAGAGUUGUGGGUUCGAGGCUCACACUGAGUG
This 73-nucleotide transfer RNA is filed under the name Felis catus (domestic cat). It matches the Rfam family "tRNA". Rfam says of the family: Transfer RNA (tRNA) molecules are approximately 80 nucleotides in length. Their secondary structure includes four short double-helical elements and three loops (D, anti-codon, and T loops). RNAcentral also lists the same sequence under 4 other names. Lineage: Eukaryota; Metazoa; Chordata; Mammalia; Carnivora; Felidae. The record is from Rfam by way of RNAcentral.